UACGUAGGGGGGCAAGCGUUGUCCGGAAUCAUUGGGCGUAAAGCGCGCGUAGGCGGCCCGGUAAGUCCGUUGUGAAAGUCAAAGGCUCAACCUUUGAACGCCGAUGGAUACUGCCGGGCUAGAGUCCGGAAGAGGCGAGUGGAAUUCCUGGUGUAGCGGUGGAAUGCGCAGAUAUCAGGAGGAACACCAAUAGCGAAGGCAGCUCGCUGGGACGGUACUGACGCUGAGGCGCGAAAGCGUGGGGAGCGAACAGG
RNAcentral lists this ribosomal RNA (254 nucleotides) under uncultured bacterium. RNAcentral describes it as "partial 16S ribosomal RNA". It matches the Rfam family "Bacterial small subunit ribosomal RNA", at positions 524 to 776 of the family's 1533-position model. The record is from RNAcentral.